UAAUAAAUUAAUAAAUUAGCAAAAUCCAAAUAUUAUUGAUUUAUAGAGGUUUUACUGUAUGUAGGGUUUUUUGGUCCUAAUGUAAUUAAAGCCAUAAUUUGGUCUUAUGGAGUUUUUAAUUAACUUUACAAAAGAAAUCAAUUUAGUCUUUAUGUAUAUUUAUGAAAUUUCCAUAAUUUGAUAAGAAAGUUGAAUAAAUCAAAUACCAUUUUCAUCCUAUAAAAUGGCUCUCACUACAUUGAUCAGAUACCAGUAUUUUUCUCAACAUCUAAAACAAUGGAGAAGAUCAUAUCAAUGAAGUUUGCCGUUGUUAUCUUCUUAGUUGUUACAUCCGUGAUGAGUAUUGAGGCAACAAGGUUAUUACCCGAAGAAACUCUUGAAACUAUGUUGCAGAGUGAAUCUUUGCCGCAUGGUGAGGAAAAAAUCCACUGCCAAAAAGGGUGUCAUGUAGAAUGUUUUCCCGAUCCUUUUAUUGCAAGAUGUUCUUGUGUGUGCAAACAUUAAUCUGAUCUUUUUUAGUCGAUAAUCACAUAUAAGAAUAUCGGUUUCUUUCUUAUAAUUAUAUCAAUAAACGACUUGGCCAGUUAUGUUAUUGUGUAAUGAUUUAUGUCCAGUUUUUUUUAUGAAUUUAAGAUGGUCAAUGGAUCUGUGUGGUAAAAAAAAACAGCUUGUAAAAUAUCCAUAGCUCUCCAGAAAAAAAUAUGGUCAGAUGGAGUCAGGUUUCAAGUUGUCAGACAAGAAGUUUCUAUCAAUUUGAGCAGCUUCGGUUAUUUUUAUUUCUUUAAUCCUCGACCACUAUGUUUAGUUACAUUUCUACAAAAGGGUUGUUAGUUCUCUGUAGAAAAAGCCAGAAGAGUUUAGUGCACAUCACAUGAACAAGUCUGAAAAACAUUUUUGGGUUGUGUUUGAUUCCAUCGUUCGUUACACACAACUGGGAUUUACACACAAGUUUAUAUCCUCUUGAACAAAUCUUUCUAAAAGAACAUGAAAAACUGUUGAUCUUUUUACAGGAAGAAACACUCUAAUGUAGAGCUAAUAUUCUCUUAGCACAGUCCUUGUAUUCUUCCUGGAUUUACUUUUUCUUUUUAUUCUUGGUUUCUUGUGAUGAUGGUUCAUGUUUUCUUAGUGGUUCAUAACAUUUCUAAGCCAGUGUGGGUUUUAGCUGAAUGUUUACACCUUUUAACUCUUUUUCAUGAGCAAUUUGCUAAAUGUGUCUUUGAUGAUAAGUUCCAUGUCGGUCCUUUUCCACAUUACAACUAUAUGGUAAAUGAAUUUGGUUUGAGAGAUUUUGGAUGGAUACUAUAAAUCAUGCAAAUAUGGUAUAACUGCGAUUCUGGACCCAAACUAAAUGACUUAUGCAAGAUUGAAUCUGUAUAUAUAUUUUUGGUAAAGUGUUGAAUUAUUAUGUCAGUUUCUAAUCUGUGACAGAAAUUACAAAGAUAAUUUAUAUCAUAGUGCGAAAUUUUAAAUUAAACAUCAAACCCUAAGAUGACAAUGAAACAAACCUGUAGUAAGAGCGGAACAAAGUCGAAAAGGCAGCUAAGCAAUGUCUUCGGACCAACGAAUCUGUAUAUAUUUUAAGCAUAAAAAUAUUGCAAUGAAGUUAACUGGUUAUAAGGUGUUUGAGUGUUUCUAUGCAAUACGUAAACAUCAAAACUAAUUUAAGCUAUCACAUCAGACUGCCUUGGUUUCCGUAAACAGUCGGUUCUGUGAGCCUGGACAGCUUAAAUUUUUGGUCAAGAUUUGCGAACUACUUACUGAUGAUGCAGCUAUUGGUAUCCAAGGCGUGGCCAAAGUUUAGAUGCCAGCAGUUGGAGCUUAUGGAAAGAUUAAGAAAAUUGGAGUGGUGAAAAUUGGUGAAAGAGGAAUAGAGUAACUAAAACAGGGGCUUUCCUCAUUGCUCAAAGUGUGAUAUAGCUUGAUUAUGCUCAAAAUCUUCGGUAGCUGCAGGUUCACCGUUUUAGAUGGCAGGCUUCUUUGAGAAUGAGGAAAUUGAUCCCUCUAUUUAGUUGAAACUUCGAGUGGUGGCUGUCAAGAUUUUUUGGGAUGACUAUUUAUUUAAAUAUGUAUAUUAUCCCCUAGAUUUCUAGUUAUAUAUUUAAAUAUAUAUAUAUAUAUAUAUAUAUGCAUAUUAAUAAAUUUUGGAUUUUUAUUGUAGUUAAAAUAUGUUAAAUUGGCUAAAAAUAAACAUGUUAAUUUAUUUAAUGAACCAAUAAAUUUAAAUAAAAUUCCAAUCAAAUUAAUAUCAACUAAAAAUUAUUGUACUAGUAUUGUUUCAGUUUUACAUUUGUAGGGUACACUCAAUAAAUAAUUUUGAUUAUAUAUAUAUAUAUAUAUAUAUAUAUACAAAAUUUUUAGAAACAUAAAUAAGAAAUUAGUUAUUACUAUAUAUAUUUCAAAAAUCUUUGCAAAAAUAUUUUUUGUAAAAAAAAAUUACAUUAAUGGUUUUGAUGUAUAAAUUAUUCGUAUUACCUUAUUAAAAAAAAUCUUUCAAAAAAAAAUAAACAUUUAUAAGUAAAUUAUAUAAAUUAUUAUUAAGUGAUGUCAUGUUAUAAAUUCUUAAAGACAUGUUAUCUUUUUUUUAGUGACAUGUUAUUUUUUUUAGUUAAAAGAAUAUGGUAAUGACACAUGUCACAAUCACUUAUCAAAUCAUGCGUAGGGAUAAUCACAAGAGGAUAAAAUUUUCUUCCAGAUUUGGGCUUAUGUUUUUUAUUAUAUGUGAUAAAUAAUCAAUUUAGUAUUUAUGUAUAUCUACAAACUCAGAUAAUAUAUUAUUUUGCAGAUUUUCUUUCCAUAUUUUGAUAAGAAAAUUAACUAAAUCAACAUCAUUUUCAUUCUAUAAAAUGGUUCCCACAACACUGAUCAGAAACCAUUAUUUUCUCAACAUUUAAAACAAUGGAAAAGAUAUCAAUGAAGUUUGCUCUUGUUAUUUUCUUAGUUGUUGCAUCCGUGAUGAGUAUUGAGGCAACACGGUUAUUAACCGAAGAAGCUCUUGAAACUGUUCUGCAUGGUGAAUCUUUGCCGCAUGGCGAGGAAAAAUUCCAUUUUGGUGUUCACUGCGAGAAAGGGUGCCAUGAGGAAUGUUAUCCCGAUCAAUUUAUUACAAGAUGUUUUUGUGUGUGCCCAUAAUCUGAUACUAUCCUGAAAUAAUAAUGUGCUUUUCUAAUAUUAAUGAAAAAACUGGUCCAGUUAUGUUCUAUCAUGUUAUUGUGUAAUGAUUUCUAUCCA
Long non-coding RNA from Brassica napus (rape), 3228 nucleotides. RefSeq lists it as uncharacterized. The record is from RefSeq and is a predicted model, not a curated record. The transcript is spliced from 3 exons. NCBI's taxonomy places the organism in Eukaryota, Viridiplantae, Streptophyta, Magnoliopsida, Brassicales, Brassicaceae.